This 515-nucleotide ribosomal RNA is filed under the name uncultured bacterium. RNAcentral describes it as "partial 16S ribosomal RNA". It matches the Rfam family "Bacterial small subunit ribosomal RNA", at positions 28 to 523 of the family's 1533-position model. The record is from RNAcentral.
GAUGAACGCUGGCGGCGUGCCUAAUACAUGCAAGUCGAGCGAAUGGAUUAAGAGCUUGCUCUUAUGAAGUUAGCGGCGGACGGGUGAGUAACACGUGGGUAACCUGCCCAUAAGACUGGGAUAACUCCGGGAAACCGGGGCUAAUACCGGAUAACAUUUUGAACCGCAUGGUUCGAAAUUGAAAGGCGGCUUCGGCUGUCACUUAUGGAUGGACCCGCGUCGCAUUAGCUAGUUGGUGAGGUAACGGCGCACCAAGGCAACGAUGCGUAGCCGGCCGGAGAGGGUGAUGGGCCACACUGGGACUGGAACACGGCCAAGACUCCUACGGGAGGCAGCAGUAGGGAAUCUUCCGCAAUGGACGAAAGUCUGACGGAGCAACGCCGCGUGAGUGAUGAAGGCUUUCGGGUCGUAAAACUCUGUUGUUAGGGAAGAACAAGUGCUAGUUGAAUAAGCUGGCACCUUGACGGUACCUAACCAGAAAGCCACGGCUAACUACGUGCCAGCCGCCGCCGUAA